AUGGAGAACACUGCUAUUUACAUCUACAGCGCCGACAGCUGCUUCGUUGGAAGUCAGAUUCGAUUGCGGGGGAGGUGGAAAGGCGACCGGCGACGAGGGGCCUCUGCACGACGCCGCCUCUGCGACCGCGAUGACAUCUCAGUCUCACUCACACGGUUCAAGAAGCCGGGGCAAGCACAUCGCCAGGAGAUGAUGGUUUGUGAUGCCCUGAUCUGCUGCUUUAAUAUUCUUGUGUUAAGCUUGGCUGGGUCAAGCACUUCACUGAUAAUCCCAACACCUCGUGUAGCUUCAGUGAACUCAGAUGACCCAGCAUGGAAGCAUUGCAAGAUUCCGGACAUGACCAAGAAGGCCUCUGUGGAAUGCAACUUCUGCCAUGGUGUUUACAUUGGUGCUGAUGUGAAGCAAGAGAUGAGGGAGCUGAUCUCAAGGAAAGAUGAAGCAAAGGAAAAGAAGGCUAGGGAAUCAGCAAUACGCAGAAGUGAUGUCAAUUUGGAUGGAAAUGAUGCUAGGGCUGCUGAUGAAGAUGACAUCUUGGGCGGUGGUAGUGGGGGUGGUUUGCUUGUAUUAUCAGGGAAACGACAGAGUAAGGGCAACACAUAUGGUUCUAUGGAUAAGUUUUGCACCAAGUCAACAAAAGAGGUUGUGGCCGCAAGGAAGGGGGAAUGCUUUUCUACAAAGUUGCAAACCAAGUUGUCCACUCAAAGAAGGGAAGAGAGGCGGGUUCGUGCUUGUGAGUAUGUUUGUCAGUUCUUCUAUGAAGCCGGAAUUGCCCACAAUGCAGUCCUGCUUCCAAGCUUUGAACUUAUGCUUGAAGCGAGCAAGAAGAAGGUCGAGGAAGGAUUUGCUAGACAUAAAGAAGCAUGGAAGCUCACUGGAUGUACCGUCAUGACAGAUGCAUGGGCAGACAAAAGAGGAAGGGGAGUGGUGAAUUUGGUAGUUCAUAGUGCCUAUGGCGUUGUUUUUGUUGAUUCUGUGGACUGUUCAGAUAGCUUGCAGGACAACAAAAAAGAGCUACAAAAGUUGUUCAGGUCCGAUGAACUCAAUGAAAUGGACCACCUAAAAAAGGCAAAGGGGAAGAACACAGCUAAAAUCGUUCGCUCUGAAACUUUUUGGAAAGCAGUAGAUACCGCUGUCAAUUUCUUUGAGCCAAUGGCAAAUCUUUUGAGGAGGAUGGAUAGCGAUGUUCUGGCAAUGGGUUUUAUGCAUGGUUGUAUGUUGGAUGAAAAGAAAGAGAUCUCCGUGAGGUUUGACAAUGACAAGUCUCGCUUUCUGGAAGUGUGGGACAUCAUUGACAAGAGAUGGGACAACAAGUUGAAGACUGCAUUACAUAUGGUUGGAUACUACUUGAACCCAUACUAUUAUUAUCCAAACAAGCUUGAUAUUGAGAUCGAUGGUAGUUUCAAAGAAGGGUUGAUAACUUGUAUUUCAAAGAUGGUUGAAGAUCCUAUCAUGCAAGAAGAAAUAAUCGAUGAGAUUGACCACUAUCAAGAGGGGAUAUGGUCUUUUGGAAGGGACAUUGCUGUACGGCAAAGGAAAAACAAAAAGUUUGAUCCAGCUAAAUGGUGGAUGAACCAUGGGACAAGUGCUCCAAAACUAAGGAUCUUGGCUGCAAGGAUUCUUGGAUUGACAUGUAGUUCCUCUGCUUGUGAGAGGAACUGGAGUGUAUUUGAUCAAGUAUCUCGUAUUGCAGAUUUGAGUGGCUAG
RNAcentral lists this ribosomal RNA (1704 nucleotides) under Triticum aestivum (bread wheat). Its description in RNAcentral is "partial small subunit ribosomal RNA". The record is from RNAcentral. Lineage: Eukaryota; Viridiplantae; Streptophyta; Magnoliopsida; Poales; Poaceae.